UACGUAGGGGGCUAGCGUUGUCCGGAUUUAUUGGGCGUAAAGCGCGUGUAGGCGGCCAUACAGGUCCGUUGUGAAAACUGGAGGCUUAACCUCCAGACGUCGAUGGAAACCGUAUGGCUAGAGUCCGGAAGAGGAGAGUGGAAUUCCUGGUGUAGCGGUGAAAUGCGCAGAUAUCAGGAAGAACACCGACGGCGAAGGCAGCUCGCUGGGACGGUACUGACGCUGAGGCGCGAAAGCGUGGGGAGCGAACAGG
RNAcentral lists this ribosomal RNA (253 nucleotides) under uncultured bacterium. Its description in RNAcentral is "partial 16S ribosomal RNA". It matches the Rfam family "Bacterial small subunit ribosomal RNA", at positions 524 to 776 of the family's 1533-position model. The record is from RNAcentral.